GAUGAACGCUGGCGGCGUGCCUAAUACAUGUAAGUCGAGCGAACGGACGAGAAGCUUGCUUCUCUGAUGUUAGCGGCGGACGGGUGAGUAACACGUGGAUAACCUACCUAUAAGACUGGGAUAACUUCGGGAAACCGGAGCUAAUACCGGAUAAUAUUUUGAACCGCAUGGUUCAAAAGUGAAAGACGGUCUUGCUGUCACUUAUAGAUGGAUCCGCGCUGCAUUAGCUAGUUGGUAAGGUAACGGCUUACCAAGGCAACGAUGCAUAGCCGACCUGAGAGGGUGAUCGGCCACACUGGAACUGAGACACGGUCCAGACUCCUACGGGAGGCAGCAGUAGGGAAUCUUCCGCAAUGGGCGAAAGCCUGACGGAGCAACGCCGCGUGAGUGAUGAAGGUCUUCGGAUCGUAAAACUCUGUUAUUAGGGAAGAACAUAUGUGUAAGUAACUGUGCACAUCUUGACGGUACCUAAUCAGAAAGCCACGGCUAACUACGUG
Molecule: ribosomal RNA, 497 nt
Filed under: uncultured bacterium
Lineage: Bacteria
Description: partial 16S ribosomal RNA
Rfam family: Bacterial small subunit ribosomal RNA
Source: RNAcentral